AUUGAACGCUGGCGGCAUGCUUUACACAUGCAAGUCGAACGGUAACAGGCCGCAAGGUUCUGACACGUGGCGGACGGGUGAGUAAUGCAUCGGAAAGUGCCCAGUCGUGGGGGAUAACUACCCGAAAGAGUAGCUAAUACCGCAUACGAACUAUGGAUGAAAGCGGGGGACCGUAAAGCCUCGCGCGAUUGGAGCGGCCGCUGUCAGAUUAGGUAGUUGGUGGGGUAAAGGCUUACCAAGCCAACGAUCUGUAGCUGGUCUGAGAGGACGACCAGCCACACUGGGACUGAGACACGGCCCAGACUCCUACGGGAGGUAGCAGUGGGGAAUUUUGGACAAUGGGCGCAAGCCUGAUCCAGCAAUGCCACGUGCAGGAAGAAGGCCUUCGGGUUGUAAACUGCUUUUGUACGGAACGAAACGGCUCUGGUUAAUACCCGGGGCUAAUGACGGUACCGGAAGAAUAAGCACCGGCUAACUACGUG
RNAcentral lists this ribosomal RNA (482 nucleotides) under uncultured bacterium. Its description in RNAcentral is "partial 16S ribosomal RNA". It matches the Rfam family "Bacterial small subunit ribosomal RNA", at positions 30 to 507 of the family's 1533-position model. The record is from RNAcentral.